UCCCUUGUAGCUCAGUUGGUAAAGAAUCUGUCUGCAGUGCAGGAGACCUAGGUUCGAUCCCUGGCUUGGGGA
This 72-nucleotide transfer RNA is filed under the name Bos taurus (domestic cattle). It matches the Rfam family "tRNA". From Rfam's summary of the family: Transfer RNA (tRNA) molecules are approximately 80 nucleotides in length. Their secondary structure includes four short double-helical elements and three loops (D, anti-codon, and T loops). Lineage: Eukaryota; Metazoa; Chordata; Mammalia; Artiodactyla; Bovidae. RNAcentral also lists the same sequence under 2 other names. The record is from Rfam by way of RNAcentral.